RNAcentral lists this ribosomal RNA (272 nucleotides) under uncultured bacterium. RNAcentral's name for it is "partial 16S ribosomal RNA". It matches the Rfam family "Bacterial small subunit ribosomal RNA", at positions 524 to 794 of the family's 1533-position model. The record is from RNAcentral.
UACGUAGGGUGCAAGCGUUGUCCGGAAUUAUUGGGCGUAAAGAGCUCGUAGGCGGUCUGUCGCGUCUGCUGUGAAAACUCAGGGCUUAACCCUGAGCUUGCAGUGGGUACGGGCAGACUAGAGUGCGGUAGGGGAGACUGGAAUUCCUGGUGUAGCGGUGAAAUGCGCAGAUAUCAGGAGGAACACCGGUGGCGAAGGCGGGUCUCUGGGCCGUAACUGACGCUGGAGGAGCGAAAGCAUGGGGAGCGAACAGGAUUAGACUACCUAGUAGU